Pistacia vera is the source of this 867-nucleotide long non-coding RNA. RefSeq lists it as uncharacterized. The record is from RefSeq and is a predicted model, not a curated record. NCBI's taxonomy places the organism in Eukaryota, Viridiplantae, Streptophyta, Magnoliopsida, Sapindales, Anacardiaceae. The transcript has 5 exons.
UUUGGAGUAUCUGAGUUGGCCAGAACAGAGGUUGUUAAGAAACUCUGGGUUUAUAUUAAGGACAAUCAAUUGCAAGAUCCAAAGAAUAAGCGAAAUAUAUUAUGUGAUGAAUCUUUACAUGCUCUUUUUCGUGUUAGUUCUAUCAACAUGUUUCAAAUGAGUAAAGCUCUCUCCGAACACAUAUGGCCGUUAGACAAGGAAGAUGCUCCUGUAGACUCUACUCAGAAGGAAAAGCGGCGCAAGCAAGAGGCAGAAGGUACAGAUGAACCACAUCGGAAAGAAAAACGACAGAAGAAAGGAGGAUCAAAAUGAUAGGAGGAAAGAGUUGUGUGUCAUGAUAAGCUAAAGGAACUUUCUGAGGUUGACUCUCUCUGGUGCUUCUCAGGCUCAAUGCUUCUGACUACUGAAUUUUUUUCAAGAUAGGAGAGUGAGUUGAUUGUUUGUAUAUAAUAUGAGCCCAGUAGAAGUGGGCAAUUUUUGCUCAAGUUCUAAUUCUCCUUUUACGCUGGUAAGUUGUAUCCAUCUAACAUUUCAAACAAAUUGAAGCAAAUAUCUUCAGUUAAGUUGUUUCACCGUUCCCCAUAGCAUCAUGUAUUUACUUCUUUUAACUUUCUACACCUUAUUUGUAUGUGGAGAUGAUGGCCAUUAGAAUGUGGAAAGAUCAUAAGACAUGGCCAUCUGGAAAGCAAAUUUGUUAUACCUUGUAGUCUUGCAGGGACUACAAGGUUAAUAAAACUUUGAUAGGUACUAUAUGAAUUCUGCUUUUGAAAUUGUUUUUUUAGGGCAUUCUCGAUGUACUAUGUGCAGUCCAACUGAUGGGCUUUAAAGCAUUUGUCAGAACUAAAGAUAACACAUCAUUCUGGGCCA